GCCACCUGAUAAAUGCUACACUCUGGUUUCCCAACUGCCCCGUGCUUUGCCAUGGCUGCUAAGGUUGCGUUAACAACCAUAUCCGCUGGAACCUAAAGCAAAUCAUUUUUUCAGUUACCGGAUUCGAGGUCCCAAACAGAUUCUUGAACAGUUCGGCAUUGAUGAUCUACAACACACACACACAUAUUACAAGCUUAUGCAGAAAAAAGAAGUGGAAGCGAGAGAGAAAGAGAUGAAAGCAAAGCUCUCCAUACUUCAUUUUUCAAUCUCUCUGCUACAGCUUCUUUGCUCUUGGCCUUGAUCAGAACAAAUAUCUUGUGAACAUCAGGAGCCGUCCGCAGCAUUUUCUCAAUGAGAACUGAAAAUUCAUUCACAAGGGACAACGGGAGGAGUUAAACGACAUUUCUGAGGAAUCGGAAAAGGUAAGGAAAGACGAAGAUACCUUUUCCCAGAAAUCCAGUUGCACCAGUGAUGAGGAAGGUCUUCCCUCUUAAAAAUUUGACAAUGCCGAUGCCUUCAUCCUUCCCAUUGGGGCUCAAGACUAAACUCCCGGUUUCCAUCAACGCGGGUCCAUGAUCUUGGAUCAAGGCAGAGGGCGUCUCUGUGAGAACAGAAGAGAUCCCAGUAGACUUGAUGGCAUGGUUACCAGUUUGGCAGCAGACCUUGCUGCUCCGAGUGCGUAUAGAAAGCCUUACAUGGCUGAACUUGGAAGACUUAACUGCAUAAGAGAUUGAGGAAUUCAGAGAGAAAGCCUCCAUUGUUGCACAGGGGAAAAAUAGUAAAAAAGGAUGCAAGGUGAGAUGAAGCUCUUUUGAUGAGAAAUGGUAGGUUUGCAAAGUUAGCUACUCUUCUUUUCCUUUCUUUUUUCCCCUUAGUUUUUCUUGCAACAAACUAUAUUGUUUAAGAUGUGAGUUUGGUUAGAUUAAGAGGGGUGGAGGAGUGUGAAUGAAAUUGAUGAAUUGUUAAUGAUUUUAAGGAGUGUGGAGAUGAGAAUUAGGAGGAUAACAAGAAGGCUCUCUUUUUGCCACCCCCUCUUCAUACACGUUUACUUGGAAACGACUAAUUUGGUGGAAAGUUGAUUAUUUUUAUUGUUUA
Molecule: long non-coding RNA, 1095 nt
Organism: Salvia miltiorrhiza (redroot sage)
Lineage: Eukaryota; Viridiplantae; Streptophyta; Magnoliopsida; Lamiales; Lamiaceae
Exons: 2
Source: RefSeq, a predicted model, not a curated record